Molecule: ribosomal RNA, 901 nt
Filed under: Colletotrichum fioriniae
Lineage: Eukaryota; Fungi; Ascomycota; Sordariomycetes; Glomerellales; Glomerellaceae
Description: LSU rRNA
Rfam family: Eukaryotic large subunit ribosomal RNA
Source: RNAcentral
GGCAUAUCAAUAAGCGGAGGAAAAAGAAACCAACAGGGAUUGCCCCAGUAACGGCGAGUGAAGCGGCAACAGCUCAAAUUUGAAAUCUGGCCCCAGGCCCGAGUUGUAAUUUGCAGAGGAUGCUUUUGGCGCGGUGCCUUCCGAGUUCCCUGGAACGGGACGCCAUAGAGGGUGAGAGCCCCGUACGGUUGGACACCAAGCCUUUGUAAAGCUCCUUCGACGAGUCGAGUAGUUUGGGAAUGCUGCUCUAAAUGGGAGGUACAUUUCUUCUAAAGCUAAAUAUUGGCCAGAGACCGAUAGCGCACAAGUAGAGUGAUCGAAAGAUGAAAAGCACUUUGAAAAGAGGGUUAAACAGCACGUGAAAUUGUUAAAAGGGAAGCGCUUGUGACCAGACUUGCGUCCGGUGAAUCACCCAGCUCUCGCGGCUGGGGCACUUCGCCGGCACAGGCCAGCAUCAGCUUGCCGUCGGGGACAAAAGCUUCAGGAACGUAGCUCCUCUCGGGGAGUGUUAUAGCCUGUUGUAUAAUACCCUUCGGCGGGCUGAGGUACGCGCUCCGCAAGGAUGCUGGCGUAAUGGUCAUCAGCGACCCGUCUUGAAACACGGACCAAGGAGUCAACCUUAUGUGCGAGUGUUUGGGUGUUAAACCCCUACGCGUAAUGAAAGUGAACGCAGGUGAGAGCUUCGGCGCAUCAUCGACCGAUCCUGAUGUUCUCGGAUGGAUUUGAGUAAGAGCAUAUAGGGUUGGACCCGAAAGAAGGUGAACUAUGCGUGUGUAGGGUGAAGCCAGAGGAAACUCUGGUGGAGGCUCGCAGCGGUUCUGACGUGCAAAUCGAUCGUCAAACAUGCGCAUGGGGGCGAAAGACUAAUCGAACCUUCUAGUAGCUGGUUUCCGCCGAAGUU